RNAcentral lists this ribosomal RNA (408 nucleotides) under uncultured bacterium. RNAcentral's name for it is "partial 16S ribosomal RNA". It matches the Rfam family "Bacterial small subunit ribosomal RNA", at positions 28 to 526 of the family's 1533-position model. The record is from RNAcentral.
GACGAACGCUGGCGGCGUGCUUAACACAUGCAAGUCGAACGAAGUGGAGCACGGGUGAGUAACGCGUAAUCAACCUGCCCUUCCGAGGGGGACAACAGUUGGAAACCACUUCUAAUACCGCCUACUGAAGUAGGGGGUUGCGUCUGAUUAGCGAGUUGGCGGGGUAACGGCCCACCAAGGCGAUGCUCAUUAGCCGGUCUGAGAGGAUGAACGGCAACAUUGGGACUGAGACACUGCCCAGACGCCUACGGGAGGCAGCAGUGGGGAAUCUUCCGCAAUGGACGAAAGGCUGACGGAGCAACGCCGCGUGAGUGAUGACGGCCUUCGGGUUGUAAAGCUCUGUUAAUCGGGACGCGGUACCGGAAUAGAAAGCCACGGCUAACUACGUGCCAGCAGCCGCGGUAAUAC